UGAGAAACACCUUGCUCCUGAACUCUGAUGGAGACUAAUGAUCAGAUCACGGGACACCAGCUGACCAUUAUCCUAUUUGUUGGCUUCGAGGAAACCAAGUACAUCUUGCUGUUUCUUCUUAAUCGCCGUGGAGCCAGACGAAGGUGCGAUAUAUACACGGAUCACCAUCCUGGGAACACUGGCUUGCGAUUGUUUGGAUGCUGAAAACAGCUGCAAAGCAGCUGCAGCGAGGCUAGAAGGGAGCUAGGCGCCCAACCUGCACCAGUUCACAUUCUUACAAAUAAUGUAGAAGGGUUCCUUUACCCCAAAACCUCACCAAAAUUUAUUUGAAUUCUCGACAACAGUCAUUCGUCCUGGAAUAAGGCAGAAUCUCAGUGUUGUUUCAAUUUGCAUUUAUAGAAUGGCAAGAUAUGUUAAACAUUUCUCCAUGUAUUUGACUGUUCAUUUGUA
Molecule: long non-coding RNA, 450 nt
Filed under: Chinchilla lanigera (long-tailed chinchilla)
Lineage: Eukaryota; Metazoa; Chordata; Mammalia; Rodentia; Chinchillidae
Description: lncRNA (ENSCLAG00000024493.1)
Source: RNAcentral